CGGAAGUUGGACAGGCAGGUGGGAGGGGGGCACACAAAGCAGAGAGAACAACAAGAGCAAAGAGCUGAAGGCGAGGCUGCCAAAGGUAGGCUGGAGCCAGUUUGGAACAGGCUUUCUAGAUCUUAGUGAGGAGUGUGAAUUUUCUUCUACAUGCCGUGGUUUUUAAGCAGGGUGCUGCCAGGAGCAGCUCGGCGCCUUCGGAACAAGCCUCCUGGCCGUGUGUGGGGAAUGCAGUGGAGGAGGCCCUGAUCGAGGUCACAGAGGACAGCUAGGGGGCAGCUGCAGAAGUUCCUGUCUGUUACAUUUCCCAGAAUGGUUCCCAGCGCUGGAGAUAAUUCCUUUUCGGAGAACCUACAUUUCUCACCUGCUGAUUGCAAUUAGCCACUGCCAGCUGGGGCCUGGUAUGCAGCUGAAACGCUAACAAGAAGUGGAGACCACGCGGAACCCAGCCAGGGCAGAGGAUGUGAGUAAGUAAGGAAUGAUGUUGUCACUACCCUACCUGUAUUCCUUCAACACUUAUUGCAGUCCUCGCCAACAACAUCAUUUUGCGAGCACCCAAAACUCUCCACCUGAUGGAAUCACUUCGCUGAAGCAUGGGGAGGCCGGAAGUGCUAAGCGGUU
Long non-coding RNA from Hippopotamus amphibius kiboko, 621 nucleotides. RefSeq lists it as uncharacterized. The record is from RefSeq and is a predicted model, not a curated record. The transcript has 3 exons. Lineage: Eukaryota; Metazoa; Chordata; Mammalia; Artiodactyla; Hippopotamidae.